GAUGAAGAACGCAGCAAAAUGCGAUAAGUAAUGUGAAUUGCAGAAUUCAGUGAAUCAUCGAAUCUUUGAACGCACAUUGCGCCCGCCAGUAUUCUGGCGGGCAUGCCUGUUCGAGCGUCAUUUCAACCCUCAAGCACAGCUUGGUGUUGGGACUCGCGUUAAUUCGCGUUCCUCAAAUUGAUUGGCGGUCACGUCGAGCUUCCAUAGCGUAGUAGUAAAACCCUCGUUACUGGUAAUCGUCGCGGCCACGCCGUUAAACCCCAACUUCUGAAUGUUGACCUCGGAUCAGGUAGGAAUACCCGCUGAACUUAAGCAUAUCAAAAGCGGGGA
This 330-nucleotide unclassified non-coding RNA is filed under the name soil metagenome. RNAcentral describes it as "partial contains 5.8S ribosomal RNA, internal transcribed spacer 2, and large subunit ribosomal RNA". The stretch from base 1 to 120 matches the Rfam family "5.8S ribosomal RNA", at positions 35 to 154 of the family's 154-position model. The record is from RNAcentral.